GCUUCUGAAGGAUAAUAGCUAUCCGCUGGUCUUAGGAACCAGAAACUCUUGGUGCAACUCCAAGCAGAAACU
RNAcentral lists this transfer RNA (72 nucleotides) under Entomacrodus strasburgi (Strasburg's blenny). RNAcentral's name for it is "tRNA-Leu". It matches the Rfam family "tRNA". Rfam says of the family: Transfer RNA (tRNA) molecules are approximately 80 nucleotides in length. Their secondary structure includes four short double-helical elements and three loops (D, anti-codon, and T loops). Lineage: Eukaryota; Metazoa; Chordata; Actinopteri; Blenniiformes; Blenniidae. The record is from RNAcentral.